This 109-nucleotide non-coding RNA is filed under the name Lacticaseibacillus brantae DSM 23927. RNAcentral's name for it is "Lactobacillus brantae DSM 23927 Enterococcus sRNA 68 (Lacto-3 RNA)". It matches the Rfam family "Enterococcus sRNA 68 (Lacto-3 RNA)". From Rfam's summary of the family: Name 'Ref' stands for RNA in E. faecalis. Also known as Lacto-3 RNA. Lineage: Bacteria; Bacillati; Bacillota; Bacilli; Lactobacillales; Lactobacillaceae. The record is from Rfam by way of RNAcentral.
UGCGAUGAGUCGAGUAACCACGAUUUAUGUGGUGAAAGUCGCAGCUAACACGGGGUAACCCACUCGCCGGAUUUGCGAGGUUAGUGAUUCUCACUGAGUUGUGGAGCCC